This 650-nucleotide non-coding RNA is filed under the name Pongo abelii (Sumatran orangutan). Lineage: Eukaryota; Metazoa; Chordata; Mammalia; Primates; Hominidae. The record is from RNAcentral.
CCCUGUCGGAUUUUACCUCCCCCCGGGGGAGCUCAGCCCUGGAUCCCGGCGGGCGGCGGAGCCUCUCUGGAGCCCGGACGGGACAGCCCACCAGGGUCUGCUUCUGUGAGGGGCCGAGGCGUCAUUCCGCGAAGCCUUCUCCUUGCUGUCGCCAUGUGAAGAAGGAUGUGUUUGCUUCCCCUUCUGCCAUGAUUGAAGCUGCUGGAAGGUACACAUCUUGGGAGUUUGCCCUUUGAAGCUCACCUGUGGACGUUUUUUCCUUCCGAAAAGAAGCAUAAGCUGCAAUAAAAAUUUGGUUUCAAGAUAACAGUCAGUCCCCAAAAAUCAGUAUUGAUAGUCACUGACAUUAAAUGAUGAAGAUACAAGGACAGUGUGGGGACCUUUACUCUUCAAAGAUGAGCUAUACGUGCCCCUGAAAGGCUGUCUGAAGGCAGGGGAAGGCUGGAGAUGGCAACUUUGGCCUCUGCCAAGUACUCAUGCUAUUUUCUGUAUGUGAUACUAUCUGUUUUCUAACUCAGAGGCAACACCACAUACCUAGCAUAAGGCUUGAACUCCCUUUGGGGUUAUCAAUUACUUACAUAGCCUUCCUCUAAGGGAAGGCUUGCAAGUGGUUCAUAUUCGACCCUUCCAUGUGAUAAGCAUUCAUGUAG